CCUACGGGAGGCAGCAGUGAGGAAUAUUGGUCAAUGGACGCGAGCCUGAACCAGCCAAGUAGCGUGAGGGAUGAAUGUUCUAUGGAUUGUAAACUUCUUUUAUAUGGGAAUAAAGUGUGGGACGUGUCGUAUUUUGUAUGUACCUUAUGAAUAAGGAUCGGCUAACUCCGUGCCAGCAGCCGCGGUAAUACGGAGGAUCCGAGCGUUAUCCGGAUUUAUUGGGUUUAAAGGGUGCGUAGGUGGCUUGUUAAGUCAGUGGUGAAAGUUUGUGGCUCAACCGUAGAAUUGCAGUUGAAACUGGGGGUCUUGAGUAUGUUUGAGGCAGGCGGAAUUCGUGGUGUAGCGGUGAAAUGCUUAGAUAUCACGAAGAACCCCGAUUGCGAAGGCAG
Molecule: ribosomal RNA, 389 nt
Filed under: uncultured bacterium
Lineage: Bacteria
Description: partial 16S ribosomal RNA
Rfam family: Bacterial small subunit ribosomal RNA
Source: RNAcentral